Molecule: non-coding RNA, 78 nt
Filed under: uncultured Tubulinea
Lineage: Eukaryota; Tubulinea
Source: RNAcentral
AGAGAGAAGAAGACAGCGUAAAUGGAGGGAAUAAUUAAGUACUUACGAGAUUUUUUUUUGUUUUUUUUUUUUUUUUUU